UGAAUUAUAGCUUGAUAACACUAUUACAAAAACAAAAACAAAAACAAAAACAAAAGAAUACCCUUACUGAUUGUUUUAAGGCAAUAACCAUUGAGAUGAGUAAGAGUCACUGUGACUUUCAGGUCGAUUCAGAGUUACAGGGUUAAUAGCGAUGACACUGGGUUUCAGGAUGACUCAGGACCAGCCAAGAGGCUUAUUCAAAGGUGCCUAGAGCUACUUUUCACAGGGGCUGGCCACGCUCACCUGUGAGGGCUCAGCGGUUGAGCAGGUCACGCACAAAGAAAAGUCACAAUUGUUUCAGCUUUGGGCCUUCCCCGCUCUCUACUCUGAGACUCCCUGGGCUUGGAACCUGGGACAGUUUUGCAAGCCACAGAACUUUAGCCCCGUUGGCAGGACACUGCCUCGGAGGGGACACUUUCUGAUGCCAGAUCCAACGUGGAUGUGAUUACAGCCCCGGAGUUUAGAAAUAGCAGCAAAGUAGCCAAAGAAGUAGGUUCCAGAAGCUAAUCUGAGCAGGAGUGUCACACACCCAGAGUCAUACGCAUCCCUCCUCAAUGAGAGUGACCUGUCACAGGGGACACGGCGGGGGCGGGGAGGGGGAGGUGGAUUUUCAGAGCAAUUACGAAAUGUGCAUUCUCCCUCCAGCUCCAGCUCUGCCUGCACACCUUGGGCCUUGCCUGGAACUUCUCGCCCGGCGAUGGGGCAUAUCUGGACAGCGAGAACCUGAAUCUGAACAUUGCCUGGGAAGCCCAGAAUCAAAUCCCCGGGUCAAUACUUGCUCGACACCCACUGUCCAGUUUAAGAAGCUUGAAAAAGAGGAUCCAGGGAGGGGAGAAAUCCCGUGCACAGUGGAGCAUGUGAUGCUGUGAGUAUUGCAAAUAUGCUCCAUCCGGCCAAAAUCAUGUCUGCAAUCAGGGCGAUGAGAAGCCCUUGCACGAAAAGAAGCGCCCUUGCCGAUAAGAGGAUGUUUCUUAUCAGGAGAAUUUUCUGCGAGGUCUUCACAUCUCGAGUCCACCCGCCACUCCGGGGGGAGUUGGGAGGAGAAAAGGCAAUAAAAGUGAUGAAGAGGCUGGAGGGCUCAGGAGCCAAGACGAAACGACAGCUUGGCCGUCGCACAGAUUUAGGGGAGACGCAGCCCCCAUCUGGCAGAUGGUCCCCGAUGGAAGGAGAAGCUGGGAGGGUCUGGGAGGACCGAGGAGGAGUAACGAUGGGAGGUUACGCAAGGGAAGUGAUAGGCUGAUAAUCAGGCCGAUUUCUGGGCAGAGAGCCUGUUUCGGAGAAUGAUGGCAUUCCAGGCGCCCUGGACUUGCUCUGCGGCUCCAUACAGCGAACAUUUUAGGAGAUCAAAGUCUUAGAAGCUGCUCUGUUGGGAGUGGCUGCCUCCCACCCCCUGCUCAGAUGUUUUAUCUCCUGUCUCUUUCACAUGUUUGGAAACGCCGAGUGCGUUUGUGGCCCAGGAUUUCAGGGUGGUGGAUGGGACUCUGGCCCCUGAACACAGGCUCCAGGAGAGCUGAGCAAAGAGGAGCAGAUGGAUGAGCUAGCUGGAGAGCAUUUGUAUCCGCCCAGGGAGCGAGGGAUGGGAGCGGGACCAGGCGAAGGGGGUGUUCUGGGAAUACGGGGCAAACAGCUGACACGCUUCUGGCCUCUGGUCUGAGCUGAGCGAACAUUUACCUGGUUUCCUCCUGGGCCAGUUUCUUUUUGUUUUGUUUUGUUUUUACAGCCCAACCUGCAGCAUAUGGAAGUUCCCAGAUGAAGGGUUGAAUUG
This is a long non-coding RNA of Sus scrofa (pig), 1765 nucleotides long. RefSeq lists it as uncharacterized. The record is from RefSeq and is a predicted model, not a curated record. NCBI's taxonomy places the organism in Eukaryota, Metazoa, Chordata, Mammalia, Artiodactyla, Suidae.